Molecule: ribosomal RNA, 249 nt
Filed under: Triticum aestivum (bread wheat)
Lineage: Eukaryota; Viridiplantae; Streptophyta; Magnoliopsida; Poales; Poaceae
Description: partial small subunit ribosomal RNA
Source: RNAcentral
AUGGGCAAUUCCACGGCCAAAAAAAAGGGUUCCGCUAUAAUCCUUGAAGCGGUGGCCGAUCAAGAGACUUGGAUUUGGCAUGCAUUCUUUGGAAUGUCUGGAUCUUUGAAUGACAUCAAUGUUGUCAACCGGUCACCAUUGAUGAAUAAGAUUGCGAAUGGUGAGUUGCCACCGGUGCAGUUUGUAGCAAAUGGCCGUACAUACAACUAUGGUUAUUAUCUAGCGGAUGGCAUCUAUCCAAAGUGGUAA